GACGAACGCUGGCGGCGUGCUUAACACAUGCAAGUCGAACGGUAAGGCUCCAGCUUGCUGGGGUACACGAGUGGCGAACGGGUGAGUAACACGUGGGUGACCUGCCCUGCACUUCGGGAUAAGCCUGGGAAACUGGGUCUAAUACCGGAUAGGACCAUGGUGUGGAUACUGUGGUGGAAAGUUUUUUCGGUGUGGGAUGGGCCCGCGGCCUAUCAGCUUGUUGGUGGGGUAAUGGCCUACCAAGGCGGCGACGGGUAGCCGGCCUGAGAGGGUGGACGGCCACAUUGGGACUGAGACACGGCCCAGACUCCUACGGGAGGCAGCAGUGGGGAAUAUUGCACAAUGGGCGGAAGCCUGAUGCAGCGACGCCGCGUGGGGGAUGACGGCCUUCGGGUUGUAAACUCCUUUCCCCAUCGACGAAGGGUUUCUGACGGUAGAUGGAGAAGAAGCACCGGCUAACUACGUG
Molecule: ribosomal RNA, 466 nt
Filed under: uncultured bacterium
Lineage: Bacteria
Description: partial 16S ribosomal RNA
Rfam family: Bacterial small subunit ribosomal RNA
Source: RNAcentral